ACAGCAGCAGCCGCGGGAAUACAGAGGGUGCGAGCGUUAAUCGGAUUUACUGGGCGUAAAGCGUGCGUAGGCGGCUUCUUAAGUCGGAUGUGAAAUCCCUGAGCUUAACUUAGGAAUUGCAUUCGAUACUGGGAAGCUAGAGUAUGGGAGAGGAUGGUAGAAUUCCAGGUGUAGCGGUGAAAUGCGUAGAGAUCUGGAGGAAUACCGAUGGCGAAGGCAGCCAUCUGGCCUAACACUGACGCUGAGGUACGAAAGCAUGGGGAGCAAACAGGAUUAGAUACCCCCGUAGUCCCUGUCUCUUAUAC
RNAcentral lists this ribosomal RNA (305 nucleotides) under uncultured bacterium. RNAcentral's name for it is "partial 16S ribosomal RNA". It matches the Rfam family "Bacterial small subunit ribosomal RNA", at positions 505 to 807 of the family's 1533-position model. The record is from RNAcentral.